GGAAUAACGCUGGGAAACCGGCGCUAAUACCGCAUAUUCCCGAGAGGGGAAAGCAGCAAUGCGCUCGAGGAGGAGUCCGCGGCCGAUUAGCUAGUUGGCAGGGUAAAAGCCUACCAAGGCUAUGAUCGGUAGCCGGCCUGAGAGGGCACACGGCCACACUGGCACUGAAACACGGGCCAGACUCCUACGGGAGGCAGCAGUGGGGAAUCUUGCACAAUGGGGGAAACCCUGAUGCAGCGACGCCGCGUGAGCGAUGAAGCCCUUCGGGGUGUAAAGCUCUUUCGGCAGGGAAGAUUAUGACGGUACCUGCAGAAGCAGCUGCGGCUAACUACGUG
Molecule: ribosomal RNA, 335 nt
Filed under: uncultured Acidobacteriota bacterium
Lineage: Bacteria; Pseudomonadati; Acidobacteriota
Description: bacterial SSU rRNA
Rfam family: Bacterial small subunit ribosomal RNA
Source: RNAcentral